RNAcentral lists this ribosomal RNA (500 nucleotides) under uncultured bacterium. RNAcentral's name for it is "partial 16S ribosomal RNA". It matches the Rfam family "Bacterial small subunit ribosomal RNA", at positions 30 to 523 of the family's 1533-position model. The record is from RNAcentral.
AUUGAACGCUGGCGGCAUGCCUUACACAUGCAAGUCGAACGGCAGCACGGGAGCAAUCCUGGUGGCGAGUGGCGAACGGGUGAGUAAAGUAUCGGAACGUGCCCAGUCGUGGGGGAUAACGUAGCGAAAGUUACGCUAAUACCGCAUACGAUCUAUGGAUGAAAGCGGGGGAUCGCAAGACCUCGCGCGAUUGGAGCGGCCGAUAUCAGAUUAGGUAGUUGGUGGGGUAAAGGCUCACCAAGCCGACGAUCUGUAGCUGGUCUGAGAGGACGACCAGCGACACUGGGACUGCGACACGGCCCAGACUCCUACGGGAGGCAGCAGUGGGGAAUUUUGGACAAUGGGCGAAAGCCUGAUCCAGCCAUGCCGCGUGCAGGAUGAAGGCCUUCGGGUUGUAAACUGCUUUUGUACGGAACGAAAAGAUUUGGCCUAAUAAGCUGAGCUCAUGACGGUACCGUAAGAAUAAGCACCGGCUAACUACGUGCCAGCCGCCGCCGUAA